GACGAACGCUGGCGGCGUGCUUAACACAUGCAAGUCGAACGGAAAGGCCCUGCUUGCAGGGUACUCGAGUGGCGAACGGGUGAGUAACACGUGGGUGAUCUGCCCUGCACUUCGGGAUAAGCCUGGGAAACUGGGUCUAAUACCGGAUAGGAGCCAUUUUGAGUGUGAUGGUUGGAAAGUUUUUUCGGUGUAGGAUGAGCUCGCGGCCUAUCAGCGUGUUGGUGGGGUAAUGGCCUACCAAGGCGGCGACGGGUAGCCGGCCUGAGAGGGUGGACGGCCACAUUGGGACUGAGAUACGGCCCAGACUCCUACGGGUGGCAGCAGUGGGGAAUAUUGCACCAUGGGCGCAAGCCUGAUGCAGCGACGCCGCGUGGGGGAUGACGGCCUUCGGGUUGUAAACUCCUUUCGCUAGGGACGAAGCUUUUUGUGACGGUACCUAGAGAAGAAGCACCGGCUAACUACGUG
RNAcentral lists this ribosomal RNA (465 nucleotides) under uncultured bacterium. RNAcentral's name for it is "partial 16S ribosomal RNA". It matches the Rfam family "Bacterial small subunit ribosomal RNA", at positions 28 to 507 of the family's 1533-position model. The record is from RNAcentral.